UCAAGUACCGUGAGGGAAAGUUGAAAAGCACUCUGAAGAGAGAGUCAAAAGACCGUGAAACCGUUCAGAGUAUAAGCCAAUGGAGCUUGGAAGGCUUCCGCAGCGGCUUGCACCAUGCGUGGUGUAUUGAAUGAUCAGAGCGCGGUUCGUCAGGCGGAGCAUUGAGUUUGCCGCUUAGCUGACGUACGGGGGGACGCGUCCGGGGGUCUGAGGCUUCGGCUGAAGAGCCCUCGGCCGUCUCCUUAAGAAUGGACGUUCAGAGCUAUUGGUCUAAUGCGGAUAUGCCCACCACAGCACGUUGUGAGGUCACCCACAGGCUCAACUGCCGAUCGCGUAUCCAGGACGAUGGCAACGAUGCGUAGUUCUGCUCGGAAACGGGUUGUCACGCGUGUCUAGUCCUGGGUCGGGCGGCGACCGAGAUAAACCUGGUAUGAUCCUCAAGCGACGAGCUGCUUUCUGGCCAGACCGACGUCCAGGCGCUUCCACUGUGCCGGAAGUGUCAAUCCCAGGCGGUUUGUUCCCUGCUGCAUUCUGCAAGGUCUCUCAGCCGGGCGUUGGUCUGAGUGG
RNAcentral lists this ribosomal RNA (567 nucleotides) under Niphargus kochianus. Its description in RNAcentral is "eukaryotic LSU rRNA". Lineage: Eukaryota; Metazoa; Arthropoda; Malacostraca; Amphipoda; Niphargidae. The record is from RNAcentral.